RNAcentral lists this transfer RNA (75 nucleotides) under Candidatus Peregrinibacteria bacterium. RNAcentral's name for it is "tRNA-Gln". It matches the Rfam family "tRNA". From Rfam's summary of the family: Transfer RNA (tRNA) molecules are approximately 80 nucleotides in length. Their secondary structure includes four short double-helical elements and three loops (D, anti-codon, and T loops). Lineage: Bacteria; Candidatus Peregrinibacteriota. RNAcentral also lists the same sequence under 1 other name. The record is from RNAcentral.
UCGGGAGUCGCCAAGUGGUAAGGCACCGGUUUUUGGUACCGGCAUUCGGGGGUUCGAAUCCCUCCUCCCGAGCCA